This 1528-nucleotide ribosomal RNA is filed under the name Klebsiella pneumoniae. Its description in RNAcentral is "bacterial SSU rRNA". It matches the Rfam family "Bacterial small subunit ribosomal RNA". Lineage: Bacteria; Pseudomonadati; Pseudomonadota; Gammaproteobacteria; Enterobacterales; Enterobacteriaceae. The record is from RNAcentral.
AGAGUUUGAUCAUGGCUCAGAUUGAACGCUGGCGGCAGGCCUAACACAUGCAAGUCGAGCGGUAGCACAGAGAGCUUGCUCUCGGGUGACGAGCGGCGGACGGGUGAGUAAUGUCUGGGAAACUGCCUGAUGGAGGGGGAUAACUACUGGAAACGGUAGCUAAUACCGCAUAACGUCGCAAGACCAAAGUGGGGGACCUUCGGGCCUCAUGCCAUCAGAUGUGCCCAGAUGGGAUUAGCUAGUAGGUGGGGUAAUGGCUCACCUAGGCGACGAUCCCUAGCUGGUCUGAGAGGAUGACCAGCCACACUGGAACUGAGACACGGUCCAGACUCCUACGGGAGGCAGCAGUGGGGAAUAUUGCACAAUGGGCGCAAGCCUGAUGCAGCCAUGCCGCGUGUGUGAAGAAGGCCUUCGGGUUGUAAAGCACUUUCAGCGGGGAGGAAGGCGGUGAGGUUAAUAACCUCAUCGAUUGACGUUACCCGCAGAAGAAGCACCGGCUAACUCCGUGCCAGCAGCCGCGGUAAUACGGAGGGUGCAAGCGUUAAUCGGAAUUACUGGGCGUAAAGCGCACGCAGGCGGUCUGUCAAGUCGGAUGUGAAAUCCCCGGGCUCAACCUGGGAACUGCAUUCGAAACUGGCAGGCUAGAGUCUUGUAGAGGGGGGUAGAAUUCCAGGUGUAGCGGUGAAAUGCGUAGAGAUCUGGAGGAAUACCGGUGGCGAAGGCGGCCCCCUGGACAAAGACUGACGCUCAGGUGCGAAAGCGUGGGGAGCAAACAGGAUUAGAUACCCUGGUAGUCCACGCCGUAAACGAUGUCGAUUUGGAGGUUGUGCCCUUGAGGCGUGGCUUCCGGAGCUAACGCGUUAAAUCGACCGCCUGGGGAGUACGGCCGCAAGGUUAAAACUCAAAUGAAUUGACGGGGGCCCGCACAAGCGGUGGAGCAUGUGGUUUAAUUCGAUGCAACGCGAAGAACCUUACCUGGUCUUGACAUCCACAGAACUUAGCAGAGAUGCUUUGGUGCCUUCGGGAACUGUGAGACAGGUGCUGCAUGGCUGUCGUCAGCUCGUGUUGUGAAAUGUUGGGUUAAGUCCCGCAACGAGCGCAACCCUUAUCCUUUGUUGCCAGCGGUCCGGCCGGGAACUCAAAGGAGACUGCCAGUGAUAAACUGGAGGAAGGUGGGGAUGACGUCAAGUCAUCAUGGCCCUUACGACCAGGGCUACACACGUGCUACAAUGGCAUAUACAAAGAGAAGCGACCUCGCGAGAGCAAGCGGACCUCAUAAAGUAUGUCGUAGUCCGGAUUGGAGUCUGCAACUCGACUCCAUGAAGUCGGAAUCGCUAGUAAUCGUAGAUCAGAAUGCUACGGUGAAUACGUUCCCGGGCCUUGUACACACCGCCCGUCACACCAUGGGAGUGGGUUGCAAAAGAAGUAGGUAGCUUAACCUUCGGGAGGGCGCUUACCACUUUGUGAUUCAUGACUGGGGUGAAGUCGUAACAAGGUAACCGUAGGGGAACCUGCGGUUGGAUCACCU